This 431-nucleotide ribosomal RNA is filed under the name uncultured bacterium. RNAcentral describes it as "partial 16S ribosomal RNA". It matches the Rfam family "Bacterial small subunit ribosomal RNA", at positions 29 to 507 of the family's 1533-position model. The record is from RNAcentral.
AACGAACGCUGGCGGCAGGCUUAACACAUGCAAGUCGAGCGCCCCGCAAGGGGAGCGGCAGACGGGUGAGUAACGCGUGGGAACGUACCUUUUGGUUCGGAACAACUCCGGGAAACUGGAGCUAAUACCGGAUAAGCCCUAACGGGGAAAGAUUUAUCGCCGAAAGAUCGGCCCGCGUCUGAUUAGCUAGUUGGUGAGGUAACGGCUCACCAAGGCGACGAUCAGUAGCUGGUCUGAGAGGAUGAUCAGCCACACUGGGACUGAGACACGGCCCAGACUCCUACGGGAGGCAGCAGUGGGGAAUAUUGGACAAUGGGCGCAAGGCUGAUCCAGCCAUGCCGCGUGAGUGAUGAAGGCCUUAGGGUUGUAAAGCUCUUUUGCCCGGGAAGAUAAUGACUGUACCGGAAGAAUAAGCCCCGGCUAACUUCGUG